This 465-nucleotide ribosomal RNA is filed under the name Vreelandella stevensii. RNAcentral's name for it is "partial 16S ribosomal RNA". It matches the Rfam family "Bacterial small subunit ribosomal RNA", at positions 338 to 795 of the family's 1533-position model. The record is from RNAcentral. Lineage: Bacteria; Pseudomonadati; Pseudomonadota; Gammaproteobacteria; Oceanospirillales; Halomonadaceae.
CCUACGGGGGGCUGCAGUGGGGAAUAUUGGACAAUGGGCGAAAGCCUGAUCCAGCCAUGCCGCGUGUGUGAAGAAGGCCUUCGGGUUGUAAAGCACUUUCAGUGGGGAAGAAAGCCUUGGGGCUAAUACCCUCGAGGAAGGACAUCACCCACAGAAGAAGCACCGGCUAACUCCGUGCCAGCAGCCGCGGUAAUACGGAGGGUGUGAGCGUUAAUCGGAAUUACUGGGCGUAAAGCGCGCGUAGGCGGUCUGAUAAGCCGGUUGUGAAAGCCCCGGGCUCAACCUGGGAACGGCAUCCGGAACUGUCAGGCUAGAGUGCAGGAGAGGAAGGUAGAAUUCCCGGUGUAGCGGUGAAAUGCGUAGAGAUCGGGAGGAAUACCAGUGGCGAAGGCGGCCUUCUGGACUGACACUGACGCUGAGGUGCGAAAGCGUGGGUAGCAAACAGGAUUAGAUACCCCAGUAGUC